GAAGACUUUCCGAAAAGGGGGUGGGGUGGGACAAAUAAACCGUUUCACAUGCGCGUUCCUUAAUUUUAAUGGUUUUUAAUUCAUAAAUUGUUGUAUGGGGUCACUAUUAGAGAUAAUUUCACCUUUAGCUUGAUAAAUUGUUUAUUUAUUUUAGCCGAAUAUAAAAAUCUCUAUGUUGAGAGGAAAUCAGUCAUUGAAAAUAAUUAACAGGUCAUAUAAUU
Molecule: long non-coding RNA, 221 nt
Filed under: Mytilus galloprovincialis (Mediterranean mussel)
Lineage: Eukaryota; Metazoa; Mollusca; Bivalvia; Mytilida; Mytilidae
Source: RNAcentral